GACGAACGCUGGCGGCGUGCUUAACACAUGCAAGUCGAACGGAAAGGCCCUGCUCUUGUUGGUUUCUCGAGUGGCGAACGGGUGAGUAACACGUGAGUAACCUGCCCUUGACUUUGUGAUAACAUCAGGAAACUGGGGCUAAUACCGGAGAGGAUCUCCUGCUGCAUGGGGGUGGAUGGAGAGUUUCGGCUGUUGGGGAUAGACUAGCGGCUUAUCCGCUAGUUAGUGUAGUAGUGGCUUACCAAGGGUAUGACGGAUAGGCGGCCUGGGAGGGUUGCCGGGGACCAUGGGCCUGCGGUAGGGAGCAGAAGGCAACGGGAGGCAGAAGUGGGGAGUAUUGCACAGUGAGGGGAAGCGUGAUGUGGCGGCGUCGGGUGCGGGAUGACGGCCUACGGGUUGAAAACCGAUUUGGACUGUGACGAGCAGUGCGUGACGGUACUGGGUAAAGAAGCAACGGCUAACUACGUG
RNAcentral lists this ribosomal RNA (468 nucleotides) under uncultured bacterium. RNAcentral's name for it is "partial 16S ribosomal RNA". It matches the Rfam family "Bacterial small subunit ribosomal RNA", at positions 28 to 507 of the family's 1533-position model. The record is from RNAcentral.